CCUCUCAAAGAAGCUCGCGCGCGGGGAUGGGCCUGCGUCCUAUCAGCUAGUUGGUAGGGUAACGGCCUACCAAGGCUUCGACGGGUAGCUGGUCUGAGAGGAUGAUCAGCCACACUGGCACUGGAACACGGGCCAGACUCCUACGGGAGGCAGCAGUGAGGAAUUUUGCGCAAUGGGAGAAAUCCUGACGCAGCAACGCCGCGUGGGUGAAGAAGGCCUUCGGGUCGUAAAGCCCUGUCGGGUGGGAAGAAAUCCCGGGGAAGAAUAUACUUUCGGGUUGACGGUACCACCAAAGGAAGCACCGGCUAACUCCGUGCCAGCAGCCGCGGUAA
This 332-nucleotide ribosomal RNA is filed under the name uncultured prokaryote. Its description in RNAcentral is "bacterial SSU rRNA". It matches the Rfam family "Bacterial small subunit ribosomal RNA", at positions 197 to 523 of the family's 1533-position model. The record is from RNAcentral.